UCAGAAUACAUCAGAGACAGUGUUUUUCUUUUAGGAGAAUAUGCUGUAUCAACAUUGCUAAGUAUUCUGCUCAUUAUAGGUGCAGCCAAGAAAUGUUUGGUUCUUUUGGCACCAUGGUUGAUAGCUGCCUGCGCCGGAACAAUAUUUAUGGUCUAUGUGGGUGGCACAGUUUUUUUGUUCAUUCCCUUUGAUGAAAUAGGAUUUCUACUUCCUAUCUUGGGAGUUUCAGGUGUUAUUACCUUGAUUUUGUUUCCUGUGUUUGCAUUAUUUUGCGAAAUAUAUCUUGAAAAUUGCAAGAAACGAAAAC
Stomoxys calcitrans (stable fly) is the source of this 307-nucleotide long non-coding RNA. RefSeq lists it as uncharacterized. Lineage: Eukaryota; Metazoa; Arthropoda; Insecta; Diptera; Muscidae. The transcript is spliced from 3 exons. The record is from RefSeq and is a predicted model, not a curated record.